AUUGAACGCUGGCGGCAGGCCUAACACAUGCAAGUCGAGCGGAUGAAGGGAGCUUGCUCCUGGCUUCAGCGGCGGACGGGUGAGUAAUGCCUAGGAAUCUGCCUGGUAGUGGGGGAUAACGUCCGGAAACGGGCGCUAAUACCGCAUACGUCCUGAGGGAGAAAGUGGGGGAUCUUCGGACAUAACGGUAUCAGAUGAGACUAGGUCGGAUUAGCUAGUUGGUGGGGUAAAGGCCUACCAAGGCGACGAUCCGUAACUGGUCUGAGAGGAUGAUCAGUCACACUGGAACUGAGACACGGUCCAGACUCCUACGGGAGGCAGCAGUAGGGAAUAUUGGACAAUGGGCGAAAGCCUGAUCCAGCCAUGCCGCGUGUGUGAAGAAGGUCUUCGGAUUGUAAAGCACUUUAAGUUGGGAGGAAGAGCAGUAAGUUAAUACCUUGCUGUUUUGACGUUACCAACAGAAUAAGCACCGGCUAACUUCGUG
RNAcentral lists this ribosomal RNA (484 nucleotides) under uncultured bacterium. RNAcentral's name for it is "partial 16S ribosomal RNA". It matches the Rfam family "Bacterial small subunit ribosomal RNA", at positions 30 to 507 of the family's 1533-position model. The record is from RNAcentral.